Molecule: ribosomal RNA, 259 nt
Filed under: uncultured bacterium
Lineage: Bacteria
Description: partial 16S ribosomal RNA
Rfam family: Bacterial small subunit ribosomal RNA
Source: RNAcentral
CGGCGGACGGGUGAGUAACGCGUGGGUAACCUGCCUCAUACAGGGGGAUAACAGUUAGAAAUGACUGCUAAUACCGCAUAAGACCACAGCACCGCAUGGUGCAGGGGUAAAAACUCCGGUGGUAUGAGAUGGACCCGCGUCUGAUUAGUUAGUUGGUGGGGUAACGGCCUACCAAGGCGGCGAUCAGUAGCCGACCUGAGAGGGUGACCGGCCACAUUGGGACUGAGACACGGCCCAAACUCCUACGGGAGGCAGCAUG